This 552-nucleotide ribosomal RNA is filed under the name uncultured Glomeromycotina. RNAcentral's name for it is "SSU rRNA". It matches the Rfam family "Eukaryotic small subunit ribosomal RNA", at positions 548 to 1098 of the family's 1831-position model. Lineage: Eukaryota; Fungi; Glomeromycota. The record is from RNAcentral.
UUGGAGGGCAAGUCUGGUGCCAGCAGCCGCGGUAAUUCCAGCUCCAAUAGCGUAUAUUAAAGUUGUUGCAGUUAAAAAGCUCGUAGUUGAAUUUCGGGGUUCAUCCGUUGGUCGGGCUUUUUUGGUCUGUACUGGCGUGAUGGAUUCCUACCUUCUGAAUAACCAGCAUGUCAUUAAUUUGGUGCGCUGGGGAAGCAGGACUGUUACCUUGAAAAAAUUAGAGUGCUUAAAGCAGGCUAUCGCCUGAAUACAUUAGCAUGGAAUAAUGAAAUAGGACGGCAUGGUUCUAUUUUGUUGGUUUCUAGGAUCACCGUAAUGAUUAAUAGGGAUAGUUGGGGGCAUUAGUAUUCAAUUGUCAGAGGUGAAAUUCUUGGAUUUAUUGAAGACUAACUUCUGCGAAAGCAUUCGCCAAGGAUGUUUUCAUUAAUCAAGAACGAAAGUUAGGGGAUCGAAGACGAUCAGAUACCGUCGUAGUCUUAACCAUAAACUAUGCCGACUAGGGAUCGGACGAUGUUAAUUUUUUAAUGACUCGUUCGGCGCCUUACGGGAAAC